Long non-coding RNA from Acinonyx jubatus (cheetah), 838 nucleotides. RefSeq lists it as uncharacterized. The record is from RefSeq and is a predicted model, not a curated record. The transcript has 2 exons. NCBI's taxonomy places the organism in Eukaryota, Metazoa, Chordata, Mammalia, Carnivora, Felidae.
CUUCGUGUUGUACAUUUAGCAGUGAAGUCUGACUUUGAAGUUGGCUUUAAAAGAGAAGGAAGAUGCAAGGGAAAGUUUUAUAGGUCUUAGGUUCAAAAGACAGAAUUAAAUUUAAUAAUUUAUUUUAAAAUAAAUUUCUUAUCUAGGUUUUUUUUAAUUAUUUAGAGAACUGAAUCAGCCUGUCCAUCUAAUGUGCUCCAAAUGUGUAUUUGAUAUUUUUACUCAAUGAAGUUACAUAUUUAGCUAGUGAAUAUGUGUUCUACCAGUGGUUAUGACUUGGUGGAAUAAAGCUGAAGCAGGGUUGGUGAGACAAAGCGUGGCCUGCGGUGACUUGUGCUCUGGAUUAGCUGAGGGACAAGCACAUAAACUUCUGUGGCUGUCAUCUGCAAAAGGAGUCCACAUCUUCACCAGGAGUAUAUUCCACCUCAAGAAACUACUUUAUUUGCUCAUCCAUAAGAAGCAACCCUUCAUCCGCUCAAGAUUUAUCAUGAGAUUAGAAGAAUUCAGUGAAAUCCUCAGGCUCCACUUCUAAUUCUAGUUCUCUUUCCAGUUCCACCACAUCUACAGCUACUUCCUCCACUGAAGUCUUGAACCUCACAAAGUCAUCUCUGAGGGUUAGAAUCAACUUCUUCCCAUCUCCUGCGCAUGUUGAUGGUAUUUUGCAUCUUCCCAUGAAUCAUGAAAGUUCUUAAUGGUAUCCAGAAUAGUGAAUCCUUUUCAUAGAUUUUUCAAUUUGCUUUGCCAAGAGACAUCAGAGAAAUCACCAUCUGUGACACCUAGAGCCUUAUGAAAUGCAGUUCUUAAAUAAUAAAAUUUGAAAGUUGAAAUUGCUCCUUGA